RNAcentral lists this unclassified non-coding RNA (235 nucleotides) under fungal sp. Its description in RNAcentral is "partial internal transcribed spacer region". The stretch from base 1 to 46 matches the Rfam family "Eukaryotic small subunit ribosomal RNA", at positions 1786 to 1831 of the family's 1831-position model. Lineage: Eukaryota; Fungi. The record is from RNAcentral.
AAGUCGUAACAAGGUUUCCGUAGGUGAACCUGCGGAAGGAUCAUUACAGAGUUCGUGCCCUUCGGGGUAGACCUCCCACCCUGUGUAUACCGUGCCUUUGUUGCUUUGGCGGGCCGCCUUAUGGCCACCGGCUGCGGUCGGUGCGCGCCCGCCAGAGAACCCAAAUCCUGUAUUACUGUGUCGUCCGAGCACUAUAUAAUAGUUAAAACUUUCAACAACGGAUCUCUUGGUUCUG